Molecule: ribosomal RNA, 253 nt
Filed under: uncultured bacterium
Lineage: Bacteria
Description: partial 16S ribosomal RNA
Rfam family: Bacterial small subunit ribosomal RNA
Source: RNAcentral
UACGUAGGGUGCAAGCGUUGUCCGGAAUUAUUGGGCGUAAAGAGCUCGUAGGCGGUCUGUUGCGUCGGCUGUGAAAACCCGGGGCUCAACCCCGGGCCUGCAGCCGAUACGGGCAGACUAGAGUUCGGCAGGGGAGACUGGAAUUCCUGGUGUAGCGGUGAAAUGCGCAGAUAUCAGGAGGAACACCGGUGGCGAAGGCGGGUCUCUGGGCAUGUCCUGACGCUGAGGAGCGAAAGUGUGGGGAGCGAACAGG